AUGUACAUUCCUACAACAUAGCGUUAAUGCACCAAAUCUCGUUACAAAUCCACAGUUAAGGGCGCUCAGGAUAGAGUAGUAAUGGAUGGGUGACCACCUAGGAAGUCCUAGUGUUUUACAUG
Picea glauca (white spruce) is the source of this 122-nucleotide non-coding RNA. The record is from Rfam. NCBI's taxonomy places the organism in Eukaryota, Viridiplantae, Streptophyta, Pinopsida, Pinales, Pinaceae.